UGGGGAAUAUUGCACAAUGGGCGCAAGCCUGAUGCAGCCAUGCCGCGUGUAUGAAGAAGGCCUUCGGGUUGUAAAGUACUUUCAGCGGGGAGGAAGGGAGUAAAGUUAAUACCUUUACUCAUUGACGUUACCCGCAGAAGAAGCACCGGCUAACUCCGUGCCAGCAGCCGCGGUAAUACGGAGGGUGCAAGCAUUAAUCGGAAUUACUGGGCGUAAAGCGCACGCAGGCGGUUUGUUAAGUCAGAUGUGAAAUCCCCGGGCUCAACCUGGGAACUGCAGCUGAUACUGGCAAGCUUGAGUCUCGUAGAGUGGGGUAGAAUUCCAGGUGUAGCGGUGAAAUGCGUAGAGAUCUGGAGGAAUACCGGUGGCGAAGGCGGCCCCCUGGACGAAGACUGACGCUCAGGUGCGAAAGCGUGGGGAGCAAACAGG
RNAcentral lists this ribosomal RNA (429 nucleotides) under Chloroflexota bacterium. Its description in RNAcentral is "Chloroflexi bacterium partial 16S ribosomal RNA". It matches the Rfam family "Bacterial small subunit ribosomal RNA", at positions 355 to 776 of the family's 1533-position model. Lineage: Bacteria; Bacillati; Chloroflexota. The record is from RNAcentral.